Molecule: RNA transcript, 907 nt
Organism: Dipodomys ordii (Ord's kangaroo rat)
Lineage: Eukaryota; Metazoa; Chordata; Mammalia; Rodentia; Heteromyidae
Gene name: tubulin alpha-1C chain pseudogene
Exons: 1
Source: RefSeq, a predicted model, not a curated record
UGUCGGGGAUGGUAACCGGGACUUGGGGUGCCUGCUCCUGCUCCUGUCGCCUUUGCCACCAAAUCCACAGUCAUCAUGCGUGAGUGUAUCUCCAUCCACGUUGGCCAGGCUGGUGUCCAGAUUGGCAAUGCCUGCUGGGAGCUCUACUGCCUGGAACACGGCAUCCAGCUUGAUGGCCAGAUGCCAAGUGACAAGACCAUUGGGGGAGGAGAUGACUCCUUCAACACCUUCUUCAGUGAGACAGGCGCUGGCAAGCACGUGCCCAGGGCAGUGUUUGUAGACAUGGAGCCCAUUGAUGAAGUUCGAACUGGCAUCUACCAUCAACUUUUCCACCCUGAGCAGCUCAUCACAGGCAAGGAAGAUGCUGCCAAUAACUAUGCCCGUGGGCACUACACCAUUGGCAAGGAGAUCAUUGACCUCGUCUUGGACCGGAUCAGAAAGCUGGCUGACCAGUGCACAGGUCUUCAGGGCUUCCUGGUCUUCCACAGCUUUGGUGGGGGCACUGGCUCUGGCUUCACCUCCCUGCUGAUGGAGCGUCUCUCUGUGGACUAUGGCAAGAAGUCCAAGCUGGAGUUCUCCAUUUACCCCCACCCCCCAGGUGUCCACAGCUGUAGUUGAGCCCUACAACUCUAUCCUCACCACCCACACCACCCUGGAGCACUCUGAUUGUGCCUUCAUGGUGGACAAUGAGGCCAUCUAUGAUAUCUGUCAUAGAAACCUCGAUACUGAACACCCAACCUAUACUAACCUGAACCGCCUUAUUAGCCAGAUUGUGUCUUCCAUCACAGCUUCUCUGAGGUUUGAUGGGGCCCUGAAUGUUGACCUGACAGAAGUCCAGACCAACCUGGUGCCCUAUCCCCGCAUCCACUUCCCCCUGGCCACAUAUGCACUCCCUCUGUACAACUGA